UCAAAAACCCUCCCGUUCACGCCUCUAAAUGUUUCAGUGUUCUUCAUCUUCUUCUCUCCUCUUCCCCUUUUGCUCUUGAUAUAGCACUGGGAAUUGGUGGACUUCCAAAAGGACGUGUUGUGGAAAUAUAUGGUCCAGAGGCUUCUGGGAAAACAACUCUUGCUUUACAUGUGAUUUCAGAGGCACAGAAGCAAGGAGUAGGGAAGUUACCAGCAUCUUAGGCUAAUCCUGAAGUGGUCUCUGCUUUUAGAAGAGAGGAAAAAGAACAGGCCAUGAGGCUUUUGGAUAAUUACUUGAGAAUUUGCCGUGCAGCUAAGGU
This is a long non-coding RNA of Arachis duranensis, 319 nucleotides long. RefSeq lists it as uncharacterized. NCBI's taxonomy places the organism in Eukaryota, Viridiplantae, Streptophyta, Magnoliopsida, Fabales, Fabaceae. The transcript has 3 exons. The record is from RefSeq and is a predicted model, not a curated record.